CAGCCGCCGCGGGAAUACGGAGGGAGCUAGCGUUGUUCGGAAUUACUGGGCGUAAAGCGCGCGUAGGCGGUUACUCAAGUCAGAGGUGAAAGCCCGGGGCUCAACCCCGGAACUGCCUUUGAAACUAGGUGACUAGAAUCUUGGAGAGGUCAGUGGAAUUCCGAGUGUAGAGGUGAAAUUCGUAGAUAUUCGGAAGAACACCAGUGGCGAAGGCGACUGACUGGACAAGUAUUGACGCUGAGGUGCGAAAGCGUGGGGAGCAAACAGGAUUAGAUACCCGGGUAGUCCCUGUCUCUUAUAC
Molecule: ribosomal RNA, 301 nt
Filed under: uncultured bacterium
Lineage: Bacteria
Description: partial 16S ribosomal RNA
Rfam family: Bacterial small subunit ribosomal RNA
Source: RNAcentral